GAUGAAGAACGCAGUGAAAUGCGAUAAGUAAUGUGAAUUGCAGAAUUCAGUGAAUCAUCGAAUCUUUGAACGCACAUUGCGCCCCUCGGUAUUCCGAGGGGCAUGCCUGUUCGAGCGUCAUUAUAACCCUUCAAGCUCAGCUUGGUGUUGGGGCCUGCUGUAACUGGUAGCCCUUAAAAUCAGUGGCAGUGCUAUUAGGCUCUAAGCGUAGUAAUUCUUCUCGCUAUAGUGUGUAGUGAGCGCUUGCCAGAACCCCAAACUUUUAUAUGAUUGACCUCGGAUCAGGUAGGGAUACCCGCUGAACUUAAGCAUAUCAAUAAGCGGAGGA
Molecule: unclassified non-coding RNA, 328 nt
Filed under: soil metagenome
Description: partial contains 5.8S ribosomal RNA, internal transcribed spacer 2, and large subunit ribosomal RNA
Rfam family: 5.8S ribosomal RNA (bases 1-120)
Source: RNAcentral